Molecule: microRNA precursor, 67 nt
Filed under: Marmota marmota marmota (Alpine marmot)
Lineage: Eukaryota; Metazoa; Chordata; Mammalia; Rodentia; Sciuridae
Also listed under: 2 other names
Description: miRNA (ENSMMMG00000023345.1)
Source: RNAcentral
AGCAGCACAGACUUGCUGUGAUGUUCACGUGGAGAGGAGUUAAACAUCACUGCAAGUCUUAACAGCC